GCGCGAACACUGUGCAAUGCGCGAAAGCGCGACACGGGGAGCUUGAGUGUCUUGGCAUAGCCAAGACUUUUCUCAUUCCUAAAAAGCAUGAGGAAUAAGUGCUGGGUAAGACGGGUGCCAGCCGCCGCGGUAACACCCGCAGCACGAGUAGUGGUCACUUUUAUUGAGCCUAAAGCGUUCGUAGCCGGUUUUGUAAAUCUUCAGAUAAAGCCUGAAGCUUAACUCCAGAAAGUCUGAAGAGACUGCAAGACUUGAGAUCGGGUGAGGUUAAACGUACUUUCAGGGCAGGGGUAAAAUCCUGUAAUCCCGGAAGGACGACCAGUGGCGAAAGCGUUUAACUAGAACGAAUCUGACGGUAAGGAACGAAGGCUAGGGUAGCAAA
This 382-nucleotide ribosomal RNA is filed under the name uncultured bacterium. RNAcentral's name for it is "bacterial SSU rRNA". It matches the Rfam family "Archaeal small subunit ribosomal RNA", at positions 339 to 723 of the family's 1478-position model. The record is from RNAcentral.